AUUGAACGCUGGCGGCAGGCCUAACACAUGCAAGUCGAGCGGAUGAAGGGAGCUUGCUCCUGGAUUCAGCGGCGGACGGGUGAGUAAUGCCUAGGAAUCUGCCUGGUAGUGGGGGAUAACGUCCGGAAACGGGCGCUAAUACCGCAUACGUCCUGAGGGAGAAAGUGUGGGAUCUUCGGACCUCACGCUAUCAGAUGAUCCUAGGUCGGAUUAGCUAGUUGGUGGGGUAAAGGCCUACCAAGGCGACGAUCCGUAACUGGUCUGAGAGGAUGAUCAGUCACACUGGAACUGAGACACGGUCCAGACUCCUACGGGAGGCAGCAGUGGGGAAUAUUGGACAAUGGGCGAAAGCCUGAUCCAGCCAUGCCGCGUGUGUGAAGAAGGUCUUCGGAUUGUAAAGCACUUUAAGUUGGGAGGAAGGGCAGUAAGUUAAUACCUUGCUGUUUUGACGUUACCAACAGAAUAAGCACCGGCUAACUUCGUG
Molecule: ribosomal RNA, 484 nt
Filed under: uncultured bacterium
Lineage: Bacteria
Description: partial 16S ribosomal RNA
Rfam family: Bacterial small subunit ribosomal RNA
Source: RNAcentral